Molecule: ribosomal RNA, 162 nt
Filed under: Triticum aestivum (bread wheat)
Lineage: Eukaryota; Viridiplantae; Streptophyta; Magnoliopsida; Poales; Poaceae
Description: partial small subunit ribosomal RNA
Source: RNAcentral
AUGAGAAUUCAUAGCAUCAUUGUGAGAUGGAGUCGAUUCAAGCAUCACAUGUUGGAAAUACUGCACCAUAGUGACAUAAGGGGCAUCGCAUUCAGGAAACCUAAUGAUUCCAUAUACACCUUCCCAAUGCCUGAUUGCAUAUGCCAACAAGAUGGAAUAUGA